GACGAACGCUGGCGGCGUGCUUAACACAUGCAAGUCGAACGGAAAGGCCCUGCUUGCCGGGUACUCGAGUGGCGAACGGGUGAGUAACACGUGGGUGAUCUGCCCUGCACUUCGGGAUAAGCUUGGGAAACUGGGUCUAAUACCGGAUAGGAGCCAUCUUUAGUGUGGUGGUUGGAAAGUUUUUUCGGUGUAGGAUGAGCUCGCGGCCUAUCAGCUUGUUGGUGGGGUAAUGGCCUACCAAGGCGGCGACGGGUAGCUGGCCUGAGAGGGUGUACGGCCACAUUGGGACUGAGAUACGGCCCAGACUCCUACGGGAGGCAGCAGUGGGGAAUAUUGCACAAUGGGCGCAAGCCUGAUGCAGCGACGCCGCGUGGGGGAUGAAGGCCUUCGGGUUGUAAACUCCUUUCGCUAGGGACGAAGCUUUGUUGUGACGGUACCUAGAGAAGAAGCACCGGCUAACUACGUG
This 466-nucleotide ribosomal RNA is filed under the name uncultured bacterium. Its description in RNAcentral is "partial 16S ribosomal RNA". It matches the Rfam family "Bacterial small subunit ribosomal RNA", at positions 28 to 507 of the family's 1533-position model. The record is from RNAcentral.